AUACAUCUUGUGUUAUUUACUUUCUUGCAGAUUCACGGUCGGAUUUACGUUAUUCCAAGACCUCCGGUUUUAUGCAUCAACAACUUACAUGCAAGAAAUUAGAAAAGUGCAAAAAAAAAUUUCUUAAAACCUCUAAUCAAAUACCUAAAAAUGAGAAAUCAUAUCGACUAAAAGGACUGGUUGAUCUUAUUCCCUUUCAUUUCUUCUCCUAUGUAGAGCUAAACAUCUAUAAAAUAUGUCUACUAUUAGCAUUAAUACGAAAAACGAGGAUGGGAACUGAGUCCUCUUCUCUAAAAUCAAUACAGGCUACUUGGACGUGGUGUUCACAUCACUUGACUUUUUUCAGUUCAUUUUGGUCAAGAAGUUUUCUCCUCGUACAACUUAUAAAAGAAACCUAAAUUAUGUGGGGCAUUAAGUUGCAUUGUGUGUGCUUGCUUUCUAUUAAGGAACAAAAUUAUGGCAACUUGGAAGAUGUGAGGCUUCUCUUAAUCUAUGAGUUUGGUUCCAAUUCAUCGAAGGUGAUGAUACGAAGAAUGGCCCCUAAUGUAAGGUUACAAUGGUCUUUUUAAGUUUCUCCACUAGCUUGUCAUCUCCACCAGAUCUAUGGCGGUGACAGCUAGUGACCUUUGUAGUAAAAGCCUCUGUUUGUAGCCACUCUUGGCCCUUUAUGUGUUGGCCUCCUC
RNAcentral lists this long non-coding RNA (683 nucleotides) under Malus domestica (apple). RNAcentral describes it as "long non-coding RNA (MDOM_LNC002844)". Lineage: Eukaryota; Viridiplantae; Streptophyta; Magnoliopsida; Rosales; Rosaceae. The record is from RNAcentral.